CCACGGAGGACGUGGUUGUGGUGCGGUCUCUGGCUUGGCUGGUUGGCCUUUGAAAGGCCUGCUCCCGGCUGAGUCAUUUGUUACCUGUGGGACGGUCCCUCCAGGGGCAGCAAGGCCCCAGACAUCAAAGCAUCAAGUUACAGAAACUAGGAAAUAUGGCUAUUCCAGAGCCACAAAACUUCUUCCCUGAGCUCCUCCUUGACAAAGACCUGCUAACAUCUCAAAGCCCUGCUCAGAUGUGCUUCCUCCAAGAGACCUGUCGGAACUGUCUCCCCACCGUGCCUUCGGUCCCCUGAAGUCUGUAUCACUGUUUUUUUGUGAUCAUUGCCACCUGUGUCAUUCUCCCCUUCUACCCCAUGAGCCUCUGGGAAAGAGGGACGUGUUAAUCAGUUCCGAAUCUCCUCCCACCACCCUCAGGCCUGGAGUGACGCUGGCCCCAGCAGGUGCAUGCCAAGUUGCUGAAAACCCAGUGCUGAGCGACAGAAGGGACGCGGAUGCCCACGGGCUUUGUGACAGGGUUUUCCUCCGCGCUGGUAAAUCCCCAAGUUCACAUGCGACGAUUCUUGACCAAGGCGACGAUGGCCAGAACCGAAUUCCCUGAUUGAAGCUUCCUCGGGAAUGUAUCGUGCAAGUUGGGACACCGAAGGUCAAGGCUUUGGAAUCACGCUGCAAAUAUCUCUGAUCCUGCCUCCUAAAAUACAGCCAGACCAAGAAUGAUGUCGCCAUGCAGUGAGUGAAAGCAAGAUCCCCCGCCUUGAGAAAAGAUUGUGCUUCACUAACCAGACGCUUGGUUCAUGGCAGUCUAAGUGGUUUCUGUUGUAGGGGGGAGAAACAAAAACACAAGUGACUUUUGCUAUGUGAGAAUGCAGAAGGAAGAGCCCAGGGCUAAUUAUUCAAAACCACGGGGAGGUAGACAGUGGCCUGUUUCCUCCAGUGCGAGAGGAGACAAUAAUGGCACCCAUCUCCUAGGACUUUGGUGUGAGGACGGCAUGAGUUAAGGCACUGUCCUAAGUGUCAGACAUUUAGGCCCAUGCCAGGCCUCUAGUAGGUGCUCAGUUUGUUAGCUGUCCUUU
This 1073-nucleotide long non-coding RNA is filed under the name Felis catus (domestic cat). RNAcentral's name for it is "lncRNA (ENSFCAG00000041901.2)". The record is from RNAcentral. Lineage: Eukaryota; Metazoa; Chordata; Mammalia; Carnivora; Felidae.